AUGCACGCUGGCUACAGGCUUCACACAUGCCAGUCGAGGGGAAACGACGGGGAAGCUUGCUUCCCCGGGCGUCGACCGGCGCACGGGUGAGUAACGCGUAUCCAACCUGCCUCUGACUGAGGGAUAACCCGUCGAAAGUCGGCCUAAUACCUCAUGGUAUCGUCUGCGGGCAUCCAACGACGAUUAAAGAUUUCAUCGGUCAGGGAUGGGGAUGCGUCUGAUUAGCUUGUUGGCGGGGUAACGGCCCACCAAGGCUACGAUCAGUAGGGGUUCUGAGAGGAAGGUCCCCCACAUUGGAACUGAGACACGGUCCAAACUCCUACGGGAGGCAGCAGUGAGGAAUAUUGGUCAAUGGGCGAGAGCCUGAACCAGCCAAGUAGCGUGCAGGAAGACGGCCCUAUGGGUUGUAAACUGCUUUUAUGCGGGGAUAAAGUGAGGGACGUGUCCCUCAUUGCAGGUACCGCAUGAAUAAGGACCGGCUAAUUCCGUG
RNAcentral lists this ribosomal RNA (490 nucleotides) under uncultured bacterium. Its description in RNAcentral is "partial 16S ribosomal RNA". It matches the Rfam family "Bacterial small subunit ribosomal RNA", at positions 29 to 507 of the family's 1533-position model. The record is from RNAcentral.